CUCUCUCUCUCUCUCUCUCGUUCCUGCGUCGCCACCGCCGGCCGUCGAUCUUCCUCUGCCAUCACCACUGCUCAUUCCGGCGGAGCUGGAGAUGUACUUGCCGUCGCUCCGCCCUGCGCCGCCUUCACCUGAUUGUGCAUCGACGAGCAAAUCUCCGCCAAAAGCUUCAGCGCCGAUGUUGAUCUCGCGGCGACCAAGGGCGGAAGACGGCGGUGAGUCCAUGGAUUGCAAUUUCGCUGCUUCUUCCUUCGCCUGAUUCCGCAUUCGACGAGCAAAUAUCCUCCUUCGCCGCUUCCUCCUUCGCCUGAUUCUGCCUUCGACGAGCAAUUUUACCACUUCCUCCUUCGCCUGAGUCCAUGGACUACAAUUUCGCCUGAUUCCGCCCUACGCCGCCUUCGCCUGAUUCCGCCUCGACGAACAAAUCUCCGCCAAAAGCUUCAGCGCCGACGUUGACUUCAAUUACCAGGUUCAAAUCGUCGAGGAAGGCAACAAUUGGUUUAUUGGUUAACCUAAUUCUUCGCCCGACGAAAUAGAAUUUUUGUUCCGGUGAAAUAAUGAUGGAAUUCCUAUGAGGAAGAAAGGGGGAGAGGAGACGUGUUCUGCCAUGGAAGGAGGUGGUUGGUGGGGUUUGGAGUGGGAGAUGUUUUUUUACAGCAGUGGGGUGUUUGGGGGAGUUUUUUAAUUGGAGCAUAGAUGAUCAGUAAAAAUUAGAGAAAUUUCCAAAA
Molecule: long non-coding RNA, 725 nt
Filed under: Salvia miltiorrhiza (redroot sage)
Lineage: Eukaryota; Viridiplantae; Streptophyta; Magnoliopsida; Lamiales; Lamiaceae
Description: long non-coding RNA (SMIL_LNC004396)
Source: RNAcentral